CAGCUUUGACGAGCUGCGAAGUCUUUCUUGAAGGACUCGAACUCUGUCCUCAGUUCUCCGAAGCUUUCUCCACCUAUAAGUUGUCCAAAGAGUGAAUCCUCCAUAAACUAGAAUAUAUGAAGCCCAGACGUAAGGGUAUGUUUCUGCAUUCUCUUUUAUCUUCCGAUACUGUUCUUCCACCAUUUCUUUCAAGCCAACGGCCGAGGGGCUAGAAGCUUGCUUAUCUUCAUUUUGCUCAGUUGUCAUUUUUUUCCCCUGCCAGAUUUCACUGUCAAAAAGGAAAAUUUGUCAAAUGAUAUGCAAGCACUGGUAAUUCUAGGGUCGUAUUCUACAGACGUCUGCAGACAAACUAUCAUUACCCAAAGAUUAAUUCCGCAGCUAGUAUUAACAACAGAAAAGACUGAAGCAAGAAGUUUCCAUCUCAUUUGUUUUCCUAUUAUCUCUGUCACGAACAAGAAUUACAAGCUUCACAUAAUACUCCCAUGGAAUAACCUAUUAAACAUAAACAAGCCGAAGCAAAAUGGGUUCAAGACAAAACAAGACAUGGCAAUAAUGGCAAAGAAAUCAAUUUUUUUUCUCGCCUUCCUUGAUAUUGGAUUGUGAACAGGUAACAAACCAGAACGAAUCAAAAGAGCAAAC
RNAcentral lists this long non-coding RNA (639 nucleotides) under Eucalyptus grandis. RNAcentral describes it as "long non-coding RNA (EGRA_LNC007808)". The record is from RNAcentral. Lineage: Eukaryota; Viridiplantae; Streptophyta; Magnoliopsida; Myrtales; Myrtaceae.